Molecule: ribosomal RNA, 279 nt
Filed under: uncultured bacterium
Lineage: Bacteria
Description: partial 16S ribosomal RNA
Rfam family: Bacterial small subunit ribosomal RNA
Source: RNAcentral
UGCCAGCCGCCGCGGUAAUACGGAGGGUGCAAGCGUUAAUCGGAAUUACUGGGCGUAAAGCGCGCGUAGGCGGCGCGAUAAGCCAGAUGUGAAAGCCCAGGGCUUAACCUUGGAACUGCAUUUGAUACUGGUAAUCUUGAGUACAGUAGAGGGAGGUGGAAUUUCAGGUGUAGCGGUGAAAUGCGUAGAUAUCUGAAGGAACAUCAGUGGCGAAGGCGACCUUCUGGACUGAUACUGACACUGAGGUGCGAAAGCGUGGGGAGCGAACAGGAUUAGAUA